CCUACGGGAGUCAGCAGUGGGGAAUAUUGGGCAAUGGGCGCAAGCCUGACCCCGCAACGCCGCGUGAAGGAAGAAGGCCCUCGGGUUGUAAACUUCUUUUGUCAGGGACGAAGAAAGUGACGGUACCUGACGAAUACGCCACGGCUACCUACGUGCCAGCAGCCGCGGUAAUACGUAGGUGGCAAGCGUUAUCCGGAUUUACUGGGUGUAAAGGGCGUGUAGGCGGGACUGCAAGUCAGAUGUGAAAUUCCAGGGCUCAACCCUGGAGCUGCAGUUGAACCUGUAGUUCUUGAGAGAGGGAGAGGCAGGCGGAAUGCCGUGUGUAGCGGUGAAAUGCGUAGAUAUACGGAGGAACACCAGUGGCGAAGGCGGCCUGCUGGACAGUAACUGACGCUGAGGCGCGAAAGCGUGGGGAGCAAACAGGAGUAGAUACCCCUGUAGUC
Molecule: ribosomal RNA, 443 nt
Filed under: uncultured bacterium
Lineage: Bacteria
Description: partial 16S ribosomal RNA
Rfam family: Bacterial small subunit ribosomal RNA
Source: RNAcentral